AUGCGGAGUACUUCUUUUACGGAGGGUUUAAGAUUCUUCAGAAUAUUUGUGUUACCCUAUUUAUCCAUUGAAUUCGACAUUCGAAAUGAGUUAAUAAUCGUAAAUAAGUUUGUUUAUCUGACUUUAUCUUAAAGAAUGUAGAAAUAGAAGUGCAGUGGUAGUUCGAAGAUAACCAUACUGAAUGAUACGAUGUCUGCCAAACAUGAGUCCACAUAAUUCUAUCC
This is a long non-coding RNA of Neodiprion virginianus, 224 nucleotides long. RefSeq lists it as uncharacterized. NCBI's taxonomy places the organism in Eukaryota, Metazoa, Arthropoda, Insecta, Hymenoptera, Diprionidae. The record is from RefSeq and is a predicted model, not a curated record. The transcript has 2 exons.